RNAcentral lists this ribosomal RNA (225 nucleotides) under uncultured bacterium. Its description in RNAcentral is "partial 16S ribosomal RNA". It matches the Rfam family "Bacterial small subunit ribosomal RNA", at positions 524 to 744 of the family's 1533-position model. The record is from RNAcentral.
UACGUAGGGCGCAAGCGUUUGUCCGGAAUUAUUGGGCGUAAAGAGCUCGUAGGCGGUUUUGUCGCGUCUGCUGUGAAAACCCGAGGCUCAACCUCGGGCCUGCAGUGGGUACGGGCAGACUAGAGUGUGGUAGGGGAGACUGGAAUUCCUGGUGUAGCGGUGGAAUGCGCAGAUAUCAGGAGGAACACCGGUGGGCGAAGGCGGGUCUCUGGGCGAGUAACUGAC